GACGUACGCUGGCGGCGCGCCUAACACAUGCAAGUCGAACGGAGAUACCAGAGGAGCUUGCUCCACCGGUAUCUUAGUGGCGGACGGGUGAGUAACACGUGAGCAACCUGCCUUUCAGAGAGGGAUAACGUUUGGAAACGAACGCUAAUACCACAUAACAUCACGAUACGGCAUCGUAUUGUGAUCAAAGGAGCAAUCCGCUGAGAGAUGGGCUCGCGUCCGAUUAGAUAGUUGGUGGGGUAACGGCUCACCAAGUCGACGAUCGGUAGCCGGACUGAGAGGUUGAACGGCCACAUUGGGACUGAGACACGGCCCAGACUCCUACGGGAGGCAGCAGUGGGGAAUAUUGCACAAUGGGGGAAACCCUGAUGCAGCGACGCCGCGUGAGGGAAGAAGGUUUUCGGAUUGUAAACCUCUGUCUUUGGUGACGAUAAUGACGGUAGCCAAAGAGGAAGCUACGGCUAACU
RNAcentral lists this ribosomal RNA (467 nucleotides) under uncultured bacterium. RNAcentral describes it as "bacterial SSU rRNA". It matches the Rfam family "Bacterial small subunit ribosomal RNA", at positions 28 to 502 of the family's 1533-position model. The record is from RNAcentral.